GAUAUUUAAGUGGAAAUGCUUCAGAAAUCCUCAUUUUUCAUUUCUAACUCUCUCUCUUCGUUCCACCCUCUCUCGCUCUUCUCUCUUUCUCUUUUUGACCACCCUUCUUCGGCCACCCUAUUCCCUAGAAACCACCAUAAUCCCCAGUUUUCGGUUGAAGUUCAAUCGGAAACUUCAUCCCCUACCCAUAACGCGAUGAAUGUUCUUCAUGAACAUUCAUCCGAAAACCUGGAUCUUCAACCUUACCCAUAACCUCUCUAAACCCUUAAGAACCCUAACAUGGAUUCCUCAUGAACCCUAACACAUAAACCUAGAAAUGGUGAACCUUAGGGUUCCCCUGAUGAACCCUAACCCUAACCCUAACCCGAGCCCAUAAAUGCCCUAAACUUACCCAAAUUGAACCCUUAGCCCACCUUGAAACACAACUAACCUAUCUUAAACCCAAAUCAAACACAAACAAACACCAAAUCAUAAAUUAACAUCAAAUAGAGAUCAUCAACAAAAGAAACAAGCACACAUCAACUAAUCACAAUCAAACAAGAAGAAUGAUGCUUGCAACCAACCUACAAAGAUGUGAAGUUCUCCGGUCAAAAAGGUAACUUUGGAUCUGUGGUGGAAAGCUAGCUCAAGUUCUAUAGGAUUUCAAUGUGAAAACCCAAACACUUCUAAAAUUGGAGCUUUUGGAUGUAGGUUAGGCAUUUGCAUAAGAAAAUAGUCUUAGGUUUUUUUUCUCAUCCUUAAUCAUGUUUUAGGUUUAGCUAUUUAUAUAAUUAGGAUUAGACUUAGAAUUUAAGUUAGGUGAAUAUUUUAGGAAGUUUUGAAUCUGAUUGAUUGUAAUUGAUUUAGUUAAGAAUUAGGGUUUUUAGGAUUUGAUGUAUUUGGUCAUAAUUGCCUUGUAAAUCUAAUUUUGAAUGUAUCAGGAUUCUAUUAAAGAAAAGUUUUUAUUCAAUAUUUCUUCA
Lathyrus oleraceus (garden pea) is the source of this 959-nucleotide long non-coding RNA. RefSeq lists it as uncharacterized. The record is from RefSeq and is a predicted model, not a curated record. Lineage: Eukaryota; Viridiplantae; Streptophyta; Magnoliopsida; Fabales; Fabaceae. The transcript has 2 exons.